AGGCCCCAUUUUAUUUACUCUGAGCCUCCAGAGCCUAGUACAGAGCCAGGCUUGGAAAUGAUGUACUUUUCUUGUUGAGUAAAGAUAGAAGUAGCCCAUCUCCCAUAGUGCCAUUUUUGUUAUGAUUCUCAAUAUUACCCACACAGCUGUAGGGUACUCUGUAGACGUACAGGUGCUGGGCUGACAGGAAUCUAGACUGGUUAGGCACUUCUAGCUUCAAAUGAGAGACAUUCCAGAUUACCAUCUGUAAUGUGGGCUUCCUACAAAAAUAGAAUACGAAGGUAUGUGAGGUAGCAGGAGAUGUCAUCUUUGUCAUGAGGUCACCUCUGUGGCACAGUGUCACCCAACACUCUAUGUGUAAUCCUGCACUUUCAAGCCUCUCUUAGAUUAGCACUCUGGCAUGACUCUGUGUGGUCAAUGGACUGUGAGAGAAAAUGACUGUGUGUCAUUUCCCAGCAUAGGCAGUUGAGACCCAUUAUCCUUAAAUCCCACCUUUUUUGUCCCUUUCAUGGGGACUUCAGAGACCCCAGAUUUAGAUUGUUCUGUUCUAAUAUGUCAAAGACUUCCCAGCCGGGGCUCCCUGGUGAGCGUGGGGCAAUGUCCCCACUGAGUGCAUUGCAAUUAUAAUGUGAAAGAAAAACAAAUUUUUAUUGCGUUGAGUCACUGAGAUGGGGGAAUUUAUUACUGCAGCUUAACAAAUUCCCUGCAGAUUUCCCCUUACAUCUCAUUGGCCAAACCUAAAUGAUAAUGGUCACUCAUAGCUGCAAGAAGGCCGAGAAAAAUGGGAAGAGGAUUGCUAAUUUGAUUUGAAUGAAUCAUGGUCUACCCUCUGGGGCUAUCUCACCCCAGAAAAAGGUGGGGUUUGGUUACAAGGAUGAAGUGAGGAUGACAUUGGGUAGGCACUGUCAGUGUCUGCCGAAUCACCAGAUACCGUUCAGGCUAAAGAGAGAAGAUGCUAAAACCAAAAAGGAAGAGGUGGAUACCCAGGCCAAGUUCAGAAAGAUUAUACUAGCUCUGUGGAUUGCAAAAGGAAAAUAAAAGAACAGACAUGGCCUGGGAGGCAGAUUUGGAAGGGAAGAAAAAGGAAAAAAAGGUAAUGUCUUUAAAGAAGGAUGACAAAAGGAGGGUAGUAGUGUCCCUCCUUAAAGCUCUGUGGAGUACAUGUGGUAUGGGGCAAACCAAAUAGUGAGUGUUCAUUACUGAAUGAAUGAAUUGUGGAAUUGAAUUCAACAAGUUAUUAGAGCUAUGGAAAAAUUCAAGUUAUACAUAUGAUUUCCUUUUCUCUAACUUCAUAUUGAACAAGAGUUGUCUGAUGGUACGACGGGAUAAACCUAUUUCCAGGUCAUGCUGUGCAGAGGAUAUUUGUCAAUCAUUGCCAUCCUACAUCUUUCAGACUCCUCCUCUUACAUUUUGUUGAUUUCUCUCAUUAGGAUUUGCAUCUUCCAACAGUAGAGGUGAAAAAAUUUGUGUUCUAAGUCUCAGAUUCCACUAGGGAAAGGGGCCACAUAAAAGGAAGAUCAUAUCCAGAAUCCACUUUUUCUAGAGCAUGCCAUGCUCAGUGCCUCCUGCUCAGUGUCUACUGGGUAUUCAGUGCUGCUGCAUCCACGCCACCAACAGGACUGACCUGUGGGUAGUUCAGUAGUGGCAUUUGGAUUCUUCCCUUGGCUCUAGAGUCUCUGAGCUUAAUUGCUGGCUGUGAGUUUCUGGAAAUUCUGUGAGUUUCACAAUAUUUGUAAUCAUUUUCCUUUUUGUUUCAGCUAGCUAGAGUUGGUUUUGUUGUUUGCACCUGAAAAUCCUGAUCUAUUUGUGUAGACGUUUCUGUUUCUUAUGGUGAGUUAAUAAAUGGCAUUCUGGUUUUCCUGAUUCCAGCUCACUCUGGUACACUGAGAUGAGUUCCAAAUUUCUGACUAUGCAAGACAGAGAGUGUAAUGCCCUAGAUCCUGGACCGUGGCUUUUACACUGCUCUGAGAACUCCAUCACCAUAUUCAGGAACCCUUGAUGGCUUAGUAUUGUCUAUUGGAAAAAUUCCAGACCUCAGACUCUGGUAUUGAAGGCUUUUCACUUUCUGUUCUACUUUCCUGCUAUAUUACCAAUACUCUAACAUCACUACCAAAUUGCGAUGUUUGCUGUCCUUUUGAUUUUUUUUUAAACUCUGGGUACUGGGACACCUCAGUAGCUCAGUGGUUGAGUGCCUGCGUUCAGAUCAAGAGUCCUAGGAUCGGCUCCCACAUCCUAGGUUCCCUGCAUGGAGCCUGCUUCUCCCUCUGGCUAUGUCUCUGCCUCUUCAUCUUUCUGUGUCUCUCAUGAAUAAAGAAAUAAAAUCUUAAAAAACAACAACUCUUACACUCUUACACUAUUCUCUCUGCUUGCAGGAAUCUGCCUUACAUCUCUGUCUACCAGAAUCUUACCCAUAACUCAGGACUCUAUUCAGAUUCCAUUUCUUCAAUGAAGACUUUACUAAUGACUCCCUGAAGAAGUAUUGCUUAAUCAUCUAAAAUCUUCUCUGCAUUGAGAGCAUCUAUUCUAUAAUGCCUUGUCUAAGAAUUAGUUUGUCUGUUUAGACAUCUUCC
This 2570-nucleotide long non-coding RNA is filed under the name Canis lupus familiaris (dog). RNAcentral describes it as "lncRNA (ENSCAFG00040011430.1)". The record is from RNAcentral. Lineage: Eukaryota; Metazoa; Chordata; Mammalia; Carnivora; Canidae.